Molecule: small RNA, 142 nt
Filed under: Salmonella enterica subsp. enterica serovar Typhimurium
Lineage: Bacteria; Pseudomonadati; Pseudomonadota; Gammaproteobacteria; Enterobacterales; Enterobacteriaceae
Description: RtT RNA
Source: RNAcentral
UUUUAAUCAAUUGGUCGCAGGUUCGAAUCCUGCACGACCCACCAAUCGUUCGGUGGAAACGAGAAUAAAAACGUGAAGGAUAACGUUGCGUCAGCAACGGCCUGUAGGGCGAGGCGAAGCCGAGUCAUCCUGCACACCACUA